AGAGUUUGAUCCUGGCUCAGGAUGAACGCUAGCUACAGGCUUAACACAUGCAAGUCGAGGGGAAACGACAUCGAAAGCUUGCUUUUGAUGGGCGUCGACCGGCGCACGGGUGAGUAACGCGUAUCCAACCUGCCCACCACUUGGGGAUAACCUUGCGAAAGUAAGACUAAUACCCAAUGAUAUCCCUAGAAGACAUCUGAAAGAGAUUAAAGAUUUAUCAGUGAUGGAUGGGGAUGCGUCUGAUUAGCUUGUUGGCGGGUAACGGCCACAAGGCGACGAUCAGUAGGGGUUCUGAGAGGAAGGUCCCCCANAUUGGAACUGAGACACGGUCCAAACUCCUACGGGAGGCA
Molecule: ribosomal RNA, 350 nt
Filed under: uncultured bacterium
Lineage: Bacteria
Description: bacterial SSU rRNA
Rfam family: Bacterial small subunit ribosomal RNA
Source: RNAcentral